RNAcentral lists this transfer RNA (70 nucleotides) under Gymnothorax kidako (Kidako moray). RNAcentral's name for it is "tRNA-Val". It matches the Rfam family "tRNA". Rfam says of the family: Transfer RNA (tRNA) molecules are approximately 80 nucleotides in length. Their secondary structure includes four short double-helical elements and three loops (D, anti-codon, and T loops). Further hydrogen bonds mediate the characteristic L-shaped molecular structure. tRNAs have two regions of fundamental functional importance: the anti-codon, which is responsible for specific mRNA codon recognition, and the 3' end, to which the tRNAs corresponding amino acid is attached (by aminoacyl-tRNA synthetases). tRNAs cope with the degeneracy of the genetic code in two manners: having more than one tRNA (with a specific anti-codon) for a particular amino acid; and 'wobble' base-pairing, i.e. permitting non-standard base-pairing at the 3rd anti-codon position. Lineage: Eukaryota; Metazoa; Chordata; Actinopteri; Anguilliformes; Muraenidae. The record is from RNAcentral.
UAGGACGUACUAAAUAGAAAUGCACCUCCCUUACACUGAGAAGACACUCGUGCAAAUCGAGUCGUCCUAA